GUGUUGUGGAGUGCAAAGCUGGCAUACCUGGCAGAUAUAUUUCAUCAUCUGAAUGAACCGAACACACGGAUGCAAGGCCGAAAUGAGAUAAAAUAAAUGGAUUCCAUUUAAAGGUGCACCUCUGGCAACAACAUGUGCAAAGUGCCAACCUUGAGAUGUUCCCACUCACAGAGGAACGGCAAGAUCACCCUGCUGCACUGUGCAAGGUAAUAGGUAAACAUCUGUAAACUCUUGAGGAGAAGUUGUCAUUUUAUUUCUCUUCAGCCUCCACUGAAUGCCUUGACUGCUAUUGGAAAGGACAUAACUUUACAGGAGCAGGAGGAACUAACUGAACUGAAACAAGAUCGUGGUUUAAAGGUAAGAUUUGCUGAACUUCCUUUGGACAGUUUUUGGAUGACUGCUGCCAUGGAAUUCCCCAUUCCGGCCAACAAAGUUUUGACAUUGCUCCCAUUUUCCACAACAUAUGUGUGUGAGCUGAGCUUUUCAAGCCUAACUGCUAUAAAAGCUAAAAACAGAGAGAGACUGAAAGCUGUUGAAGAGCUUCGUGUAUGCCUUUCUUAAAUUCCUGCCAGGAUAUCAGCUUUGUGUUCAUCUAAACAGGCCCAGGUUUCACACUGAGAAGCUGCAUUAAUCAUGAUGAACCCUGGCUACGCAGGCAGGACUGAGCUCUGGGACAACCUGGAGGCCGCUUCAAUCCAAGUUACUCAAGGAUGACGCAGAACUUAAAAUAAAAUAAACUGAUAAAUAGUAAAGAACACCAAAGUUUACAUUUGGAGUAUCAAAGGUCAUUAUCACAGGAUCACUGGAAUCAGGCACUAGGAGGAAAUUCCAGGACAAAUUAGGAAACAGAAUUAACUGACAUUUGCAAAUUCUUUGCAACUAAAAAGCUGUAAUCAUAUACUAUAUAACUUUUUUAAAAAACAUUUAAAGUAUAUAACAUUAGCACCUUGUAAUGUUAUACUAGAUGAAAAGUAAAGAAUCCUGGAACAUCUGAACAUCCAUAAUCUGAAAAUCUUGAACCUAGUGUCAAUCGAGUCAAUCCAAUCUUUCUUGUGUGCGUUUAACGGUAUUCUGUCGGACCUCUUUCCUGGUGUGGGCGUCCCCGAGCAUGACUACGGCGCGCUUCAGUCGAACAUCGAGGCAGCUCUAUGCACCCGCUCCCUGCAGCCCUUCUCCAGCAUGACCGCCAAGGUGAUCCAGCUGUACGAGACCAUGCUGGUGCACCAGGGCGUCUUGCUGGUGGGCCCUACAAGAGGCGGUUAGACCACGGCGUACCGUGCCCUCGCUGACGCACUGCGCACCCUCCACGAGACAGAGGGCUACGAGGUGAAUCCCUUCUACAAGCCCAUCGAGACCGACGUGCUCAACCCGCAGUCAGUGAGCAUGGACGAGCUGUAUGGUGAAGGCGACCCUCUCACAAUGGAGCGGAGUGCCAUCAAACGUCCCUCGGCAGUGACACCGCCAACACGCACAAGUGGGUGGUGAGUCACGUACCUGUGGACGUGCCUGUGGAUUGAGAAAAUUACCGCCGUGUUGGACAACAACAAGACACUCUGUCUGGCUAACGGUGAAAGGAUCAAGCUCACACCUUCUACACACAUGUUAUUCGAGGUGUUACCCAUCAGACACAGAUAGCACCGGUCCUAAAAACCAUCACAAACAAGCACAAGCAUGUCAUUUCCAAGAAGAUUUUUUUUUUACAUUAAACGCGUUCCUGAUGGAAAGGUCACACACGAACGUAUCUUUAAGACUUCACUCUUUCACACAGCUAUAACGAGUGAUAAAUGCAUUCGUUAUAAAAAAAGCAUGUUAUAAAGCCUCCUUAAUGCAUUACGCAUAGUAUUUAAAUAAAUAUUAUUAUAAUAACAUGCACUACACUACAUUAUGCAUUAUGAAUUCUUAACGUAUUGUUAACAUGUCUUUACUGUGAGCGGGAUGAUGACCAGACGCAGGCAGGCUCCCGGGUACUCAUAUCCGUAGAUGUACUGAUACAGAGCCAUUCUGGCCACACACUUAUCCAGAUCCACGUCCCAGUAUUAGCACAGCUGCUUCUGCCACUCAAAGUUACUGCUCGAGUCCACCUACGUGAACACAUACACAAAGAUGUGAUGUAUAUACGGUCUCACUGUAUACGAAUUGGGCAUUCUCACUGACGAUAUAGCGUGGAUAGUUUAUAAUGAGUGUGUUCAUACUGUAUAAACCUGGGAACUGAUUUGCAUAUGCACUGCUGUCAGAGCUGCAGUUAUUUUUAAAAGAUUUAUUAACAGCUUCUGACCAAUCAGAUCUGACCACACCCAUGAUUCCCUUCGCUCUGAAGAGAAGGUGUGUAGCCAUCUGUACCCUUUCAUUGAUGAGCUCGGUGACGAUGUCUCUGGCUGGCCAUCUACAGUAAUGAGAGCUGUGAUGAUGCUCUGAUGUAUUUUGGGUAAGUUACCCAAGAGUGGCCAACACAUUCAGCCUCUGUAUAAACACACACACACACACACGCACAGAGUAAUACCCGUACAUUACCACAUAUUACACCAUACACCAUUAUGUCAUGUAAUCAGAGAAGGAAAUCUGAAUUACAGUUCCCAGCAGCCACUGCAUCACAGUCACAUGACCACCUGCACCUGGAUCACAUUCCUGGUAAGCACUUGUGUAUUUAGCCAGUUUUCACUGCACUCUUUGUCUCACGUUUGUCUUUCCUUACCUUUGUCCCUGGUGCUGUGUUUUUCUCUUUGUUUUAUGUUUAGUCUUUUCCACAGUGAUUUGCCCCAAUGUCAGUGUCUUUUGUAUUUUGUUUAGUUCUUUAUUGAACUUGAAAAAUCUGCACUUGCAUCCAUCUCAAUCUCCAUAUCGUGACACAAAAAUAUAAAUAUAAUAUUAUAUUAUAUAUAAAAUGUGUGUGGGGGUAUAUAUUAAUAGAGAGAAAGGCAUUUCUUCUCAGGGGAGAGGGGAGUAAUCAAUAGGAAGAAGGAUCUGAGAGGGAACAUGGACAAAAUUAAUGGAACUUUUUCCUGGUUCGGCCCUAAAUUUGGGCCAGAUUAAAUUUCAUCUGUACAAGUUGGACAAUAGGGAUGGGGAACAUAGAUCCAGUACCCUUAAACCCAAUUAGAACUUCUAUUCCAAACAUUAAAACCAUUUUUUAUCUUGAAAUCUAGGGGCUUACCCAAACAAUAAACUCUAAUCACCUAAUUUUUAACCAAUAAAAACUCCUUUUUCCAAUGUUGAAACUUAGGGGCCAACCCUAACCCUGAACUUAACCAUCAGAAACAAAUAAUAUGUUCUCUAAACUGAUCCUCCAACCCCCAAUAGUUAACCUCACCUAAAACGUCUUACAUUUGGGCCGAUUUUUUAAAAAGUCUUUCUUUAUUUAUUCAUUUACAUAUGAUUCAUUUUCAUGAGAUUCAUAUUCAAGUGAUAUAUUUUCAUGUGAUUCAUUUACAUGUGAUUCAUUUUCAUGAGUCAUGAAAAUUAAUUUUUUUUAAAGUGGCAGAAUUCAUUUUUAACACAAUAUAUAGAUUUAAAAAUAUAUAUAAUUUCUUUUCCAUUUUUUUUAUACAACUGAUAUUUUCUCAUAGAAUGUUAAAUACAUAUAGAGAAAUAUAUACAGAAUGAAGGACAAGGUUUUGUGCCUGUGCCACCUCCCACACCAAGUGGGAGGUGUUGGGUUGGGUUGGGUUGAGUGUUGGGUUGAGUGUUGGGUUGAGUCAUCCCCUAACCUAACCCUGCCUGAGCCUUUUUAUUAAAGGUGUUUAAUUUAGUUUGAUGUGGUUUAGUUUGGUAGAAUGUGAAUUUAUCCGUUAUAUGUAGGCUAGCUAACUGCGUAGUUAACUAACGUUAGUCAGCUGACAAGAAAAAUAUCAGACUUUUUCCUCAUCCCCUGCCUGUCCAAACCCUGCCUCCUCUACAUCAGAUGCCCACGAUGUUGAGACCAACUCGACCAGUGAAAGUUCCCAAGUGACAUUUGAGUCAUCCCAGCCCGUUUCAAUCGGUGUGCAAUCUUUUAUAGAUGAUGACAGCCAAGCGCAGCGAGUUGAGUCUUCUCCCGUCCCUGCGGCUCUCAUCCCGACAAGACAGUUUAAAUCAGCUUGGCUACAUGAGUUCGCCUGGUUACGUUAUGACAAAGGGAAAAUGUACUGCACCUUUUGUGCUAAAGCAGGACAAGAUAUUGCUGGUAAAACAGAGUUCAUUACCAGUUCGAGUCAUUUUAAAAAAGAAACCGUAAAGAAGCAUGGAGACAGUACAAAACAUGAGAACGCCAGGGAUUGUGUCAUUGUUAGGUCUGCCCCUCGUGCCACCCCAAUCGUGAAAGCAGUGCAACGUGCUAGUGAUAAAGUCACUGAAAAAGAGAUGAGGGAAUUGAAAAUAAAAUUCAAUGCAGCCUACAUGACUCUGAGCCUGAAUAAGCAGGAAUUGAAUAAAAAAGUGAAAAAAAAGAAACAAAUGACUGCACAUUUAAGUAUUUACGGUAAUAUGAUUCAAGAUGGGGGCAGCACUGCCACUGUUGGGCCCUUGAGCAAGCCCCUUAACCCUCUCUACUCCAGGGGCGCUGUAUCAUGGCUGACCCUGUGCUCUGACCCCAACUUCCUAACAACCUGGGAUAUGCAAAGAAAAGAAUUUCACUGUGCUGUAAUGUAUAUGUGAUCAAUAAAGACUCAUUAUUAUUAUUAUAUGACGUACUGAACAUUGCACAUAUUGCACACUGUGUCUACUACUUUUAUCUACUAUCCACAGUCCAAAGGUUGUGGAGCUAGAAGGCUACGUGUGCGAAUGACAAAAGAUUUUAAAAAUAAAAUAAAAAAUGUAUCAAUACAUGAAAUUAGAUUACACAAUGUAGUUGAGGUUUACAUGAAUAAGCAGAAAUGUAAUCAUGCUUAUCUUUCCUAUAGCACAAAUGAAAAGCCCUCUCUAGAUGAGCAGAUUUGUCAAAUGAAAUGUUUUCCUUCUUAUCCACUGCUACAGUAAACUAAAGAGUAGAUAUUCAAAUUACACUGCUAAAUAUGACUAGCGUUAGCUACGUGUAGUAGUGCAAAAUAGUCCAUCAAAUGUAUUAGCAGGUGUAGCCUAUACACGAGUCCACUAUUGGUCAUAUCACUAUUGAGAACAUGCCCCAAAUUCAUUGCUUUAGUAGAACUUAAUUGUAAGUGAAAUGAUAAAUUGUAAUGUCCUUAGUAUUUGUGCAGUCUACAGGUCCUCUAACACUCUGUUAAAUGAAUAAAUGUAAAUGUACUAUGAGAGAGAUAAAAGUAGUAGACACAGAGUGUUUAUUUUUUGUCUAUAUUGCUCAUUUCAUUCAGUGCUUUAACGUCUAUAAAUCCUGCAGAGAUGUUAUGUAUGAGAUUUGUAAUGUAAAUCACUGGAUUUUACUUACUAUUGUUAUACAACUUAAAGGCAGUCAUUUUUCCUGGUUUAAAAGACUGCAUUCUACUGCAGACAAUCUAAAUGGAGAAACGUAAUUUUAAAAAUGAUUGUCAACUUAACAACUUGUGUUCAUAAUUAUGGUAAUUUAGUAAAUAACACUUAAAUUCCUUUUAAAUAAUGUGAAAAUAAAGUGUGUUUGUGUGUGUCAUAUUUUUGUUUGGAUGUCUGUGUGUAAUACACAUGGCCAUUCCAUGUAUAGUAACAUUUGUGUCAGGAAUGGAUGGGAUCCCGAUUUAACAUAACUAUAUAUAUUUUUAUGACCUACCACAGAGUGUUAGAAAGAACAUGUGUGCAACGUGUGUGGGGUGGAAAACACAUGGCCGUACCAUGUAUGGUAACGUUUCUGUCACCAAUGGAUGUGAUCCAGAUUUAACAUAACUAUAAAUAUUUUUAUGAUCAUGACCUUUGAUCUAGAUAUAAAGAGUUAGAAUGUGUAUCUUUUUGACCUUUGACCUAUACCUGUCAAAACUAAGGGUACAUUAUAUACAAACUAUUUCUCUCUCAGGAGGACUCGGGCCCAGAGAGCAGCACAGGAGCUGGUAGAGAAAAACAGUUUACAGAUGAUGAUGAGGGGGAGGAAGAGGUCACCCUAGAUCAGCCGACUACCUUUAUGUUUUCCAAACAGCCACAACAUAGUGUUGUGAUGCAGGAGAACCAGACCACAGCGCAGGAGCUACAGGAGGAGAACCCCUCACAGACAUGGAGGAGGAUGUGGUCGAACAGCCAGGAUAAUUUUACACCAUAGAACAGUUAACCUGGUUCUUGGAGCAGAUUUUAGGACAAGAUGAUGUCGUACUAACAAACUACUUUCCGGAUAGAAAAAAAUUCAUAAAAUCUGUGGAGCACACAACAACAGGUGAGAAUCUGGGCGUGCUGUCACCAACGAGACGCUUCAGAUUGGGGAUAUGGGCAUCAGAGGCAGGGUUUAAGGAGGUGAAUGAAGCAGGAUCAGGUAACCCACCUACUUCAAACUUUUCAGAACAACCUGAAGAACUGUACACCACAGAACAGUUAAACUGUUUUCUAGACUUAACAAAAGGAAAUCGUAACGUCUUGCUAACUAACUACUUCUUGGGCAGGGAAAAAAAAUAAUUCAAUCUGCACAACAAGCAAUAAAAACUGAAAACCUGGGCGUGCUGUCACCACGGAGACGGUUCAGACUGAGAAAAUGGACAUCAGCCGCAAGAAAAGCUAUAAUAUGAAUAGCACUGUGGACAUUUGCACACUAUAUGACUACAAUGGACUUGUAGUAGAACUGAAAGGGUUGGGGUUUUCUGGGUUGAGGGUGGGGGUGGGGGGUCUGAGGGGGUUCUUCUCUCUUCUUCUUUUUAAAAAAAUGAAAAUAAUUAUUUUAAAAAUGUAGAUAUGUAAAUAUACCAAAACUGAAUACAUUAAAGGUGUCUUAAAGUAAAAAAAAGUCUCUCUCGCUCUGUCUCUCUGUCUUGCUAUCUCUCUCUCUCUCACUCUCUCUGUCUCUCUCUCUCUCUCAGGAUUGUGGGUAGUGGGAGGAGUCGAGAGUUUUGCGGCACACUUUUGAGAGUUUGUUACUUUUAAUCAAUUUCUUAGUUCUUUUUUAAGAUUCAUGUAAAAAAAAAAAAAAAAAAAAAAAAAAAAAAAAAAAAAAAAAAGAUUAAUCUUAGACAUAAAACUUCUUUGAGCGCCGACUUCGGUCGGAAAACUUUGACAAAUGGGGUGAAGGGGAGAUUUCUCACGCUUGACUCUGAGACAUGGAUUUAAAUGUACACCUGAUGACUCCGUAUCUGUGGAAGAUGUGCUGGUUGCAGUCAGUGAACAGAUGGACUGCCGCAUCUUGGACAUGAAGAUAAAGCAGAGCUGGAGAAACCUUUGUCCUUUCAGGAGUUAACGGAAGCUGUCCAGCAGCAAUCUUCGGGAAAAUCACCAGGAUUGGAUGGCUUGACUUCUGAAAUUUAUAAAGCCUUCUGGUCCCUCAUUGGUCAGGAUUUGUAUGAGGUGUUUCUCGAAAGCUUUGAGUCAAAUAUCCUACCCAUCAGUUGUAGAAGAGCUGUAGUGACUCUUUUACCCAAGAAAGGAGAUCUUGGUUUAUUGAAGAACUGGCGACCGGUCUCUCUUUUAGGAACUGAUUAUAAAAUAUUGUCUAAAACUCUGACAAAUCAUCUUAAAAAAUCUAUAGCGUCCAUCAUCCAUGAAGAUCAGUCCUACUGUGUACCCUAGCGAUCUAUAUUUCACAAUCUUUUUUUGUGCGGGACAUGGUGUACUUAACGGAACUGCAUACAUUAGAUCUUGGUCUUCUGUGUUUGGACCAAGAAAAAGCCUUUGAUAAAUUUGACCAUGAAUACCUGUUCAAAAUACUUGAAAGAUUUGGCUUUGGGAAUCAGUUUAUUUCAUGGAUAAGGCUUCUUUAUAAAGAUGUCUAUAGUAUGCUGAAAAUAAAUGGAAUUUUGACCAGACCUUCUUCUGUAGGUAGAGGUGUGACACAAGGGUGUAGUUUGUCUGGUCUCUUGUACACGAUUUCCAUUGAGUCAAUGUUGAGGAUUCUGAGAGAGAAGCUGCAAGGAUUUACAGUUCCAACAUCUCACCUUUCAAACACAGCAGUGGUGAAACUCACCGCGUAUACAGAUGACAUCCCAGUGAUCAUUAGAUCUGAAGAUGAUGUUAAACGUCUUACCUCAUGCCUCAACAUCUUUUAGAGUGCUUCUUCCGCACGGAUCAAUUGGGGGAAAAACUGACACUUUAUUGUUAGGCCAUUGGUCACACCAAAAUCCACCUCAGCUUCCACAUCAGCACCCUUGGAAUAAAGAGGGGGUUAAGAUACUGGGGCUGUUCUUUGGGACUGAACAGCACAUGAACAAGAAUUGGGAAGGACUUGUAGAAAAAGUGACAGGCAAGCUCCAGAGAUGGAAGUGGAUUCAAGCCCAGCUUUCCUACAGAGGCAGGGUGCUGGUGGUGAAUAAUCUAGCCACCUCAAUGCUGUGGCAUCGUCUAACCAUGUUGGACCCUCAGAAAGAGCUUUUGUCACAACUUCAAAAAGCCUUUGUAGACUUCUUUUGGGGUGGUCAUCAUUGGCUUCCCCCCUGGGGUACUGUGUCUCCCUACAAUUGAUAGCGGUCAGGGAUUAAUUCAUUUUGCCUCUAAGGUAAUGAGGUUGCAG
Long non-coding RNA from Ictalurus punctatus (channel catfish), 8536 nucleotides. RefSeq lists it as uncharacterized. The record is from RefSeq and is a predicted model, not a curated record. The transcript has 3 exons. Lineage: Eukaryota; Metazoa; Chordata; Actinopteri; Siluriformes; Ictaluridae.